ACCAAAGUGGUGGAAUAGGUAGACACAUUGUCUUGAGGUGGCAAGAAUUGGGGGUUCGAGUCCCCUCUUUGGUA
Molecule: transfer RNA, 74 nt
Filed under: Eukaryota sp. BB2
Lineage: Eukaryota
Description: tRNA-Leu
Rfam family: tRNA
About the family: Transfer RNA (tRNA) molecules are approximately 80 nucleotides in length. Their secondary structure includes four short double-helical elements and three loops (D, anti-codon, and T loops). Further hydrogen bonds mediate the characteristic L-shaped molecular structure. tRNAs have two regions of fundamental functional importance: the anti-codon, which is responsible for specific mRNA codon recognition, and the 3' end, to which the tRNAs corresponding amino acid is attached (by aminoacyl-tRNA synthetases). tRNAs cope with the degeneracy of the genetic code in two manners: having more than one tRNA (with a specific anti-codon) for a particular amino acid; and 'wobble' base-pairing, i.e. permitting non-standard base-pairing at the 3rd anti-codon position.
Source: RNAcentral